Molecule: long non-coding RNA, 1190 nt
Organism: Paramisgurnus dabryanus
Lineage: Eukaryota; Metazoa; Chordata; Actinopteri; Cypriniformes; Cobitidae
Source: RefSeq, a predicted model, not a curated record
CACUGAAACGGACUAAAAUCAAUGUAGUAUACAUGCCAGACCAGUAUGUGGCACUGUAAUUCUGCCACAGAGAUACACUAUAAAUGGAGAUGAAGAUUUGGUGCAUGCUUGUUGUGUUCUGGCUAGAGGGGAUACAGCUACAGCCAAAUCUCAUGAGAUGUUGGAUUUAGGGUUAGGUUUGGAGGUAAGAUUAGGAUGUAAAACAGCGGUUCUGGCUAGGUAUGAUACAGCUAAGGCCUAAAUCACGUGAGAUUUUGGGUUUAGGGUUAGAGGGUAGGAUUAGGAAAAACACCGCUCAUUUUUGCCGUAGCUGUAUCCCUUCUUCUAGAAGAUUUUGCUUUAGUAAAGCUCAUAGUCUCACCACCUUUUGCAGCACGAAUGUAGUCCGCUCUUGAUGUUGUUGUUGGGAGAUGUGGGGUGAUGACAUAAUCGUUUCACAAAGUAUACAGAUUGGCUGUACAGACGAAACCGCAAGAGUGUUGUUUCCGAAAAAUUUCGGUUUCAGGCUCCCAAAACGCGGGUUUAUCCGGACAAAAUGCUGAUAUGAUACAAAAUUUGGAUGGAUAUUACUAAACAUAUCCCCUUUGUGGACGGACUCUGAGAGUCUUGUAAGAUUUUCUCAGUUUUCUGUUUAGCCUCUACAGAAUGUCACUGUAUGUGGAUUUGGAGGAUACAUGAGGUUCUGUGAAUGCCCCCUUGUUUUUAUUCUAUUGUGCGUUUUCUUACAUUUUAGUGGAAAAUCAAUCAAAGCUGCUUUGGACUGACGUAUUGAUUGGUUUGCAUCUCAGCUUUCGGUCUGUUUUGCUGUGUCCUUAGGUAAAUUCUCUUGAAUAUUGAGGAGGGAGGUCAGGACCACCAGUUCAGACAAAAAGUCAAGCAAGUUUGCGACGUACUCAAGUGGAAAUCGCUAAAGCCGAAUAGGAUUCAAUGCAGAUAGGAGGGCAGACCUGCAGGAACUCUCCCAUCGCCUGCCUCUCUCGGCCAUCUGCUGCAGUCUGUCCCACCUCAUCCUGACAGCCAUGACUGAGACAGAAUCUUCGGCAGAACGUCCAUCCAUCAGGAUCUGACCACACACACAGGUACAAACACAGGCAUGCGAGCGUGAUGGCAGGCAGGGGAAAAAUCUGCCAUGAAACUUAAUCAGCGAGGGUCAUGUCGGAGAGUGAGGAACAGAUUCAAUUAGCAUAGUA